UUAGGUCAGCAUUUCCCAACCUUGGGCCUCCAGCUGUUUUUGGACUACAACUCCCAUAAUCCUCAGCUAGCAAGACCAGUGGUCAGGGAUGAUGGGAACUGUAGUUCGAAAACAGCUGGAGGCCCAAGGUUGGGAAACACUGGCUU
Molecule: microRNA precursor, 146 nt
Filed under: Podarcis lilfordi (Lilford's wall lizard)
Lineage: Eukaryota; Metazoa; Chordata; Lepidosauria; Squamata; Lacertidae
Source: RNAcentral